CACGAGUGUAUAUUUAUGUUGUUGCAGUUAAAAAGCUCGUAGUUGAACUUCUGUUUGUUCAGUCUGUAAGCGAUUACCGGCUGGGUGAACAUCCGCCUGAAAAAUCAUUCGGGUCUUCACUGAUUCAGUGAUGGAUCAGGCAUUUUACUUUGAAAAAAUUAGAGUGUUCAAAGCAGGCUCACGCCUGAAUACAUUAGCAUGGAAUAAUAGAAUAGGACGCUGUUCAAUUUGUUGGUUAUUGAAUUGCGUAAUGAUUAAUAGGGACAGUUGGGGGCAUUUGUAUUUAAUUGUCAGAGGUGAAAUUCUUGGAUUUAUUAAAGACGGACUACUGCGAAAGCAUUUGCCAAGGAUGUUUUCAUUGA
This 362-nucleotide ribosomal RNA is filed under the name uncultured eukaryote. RNAcentral describes it as "partial 18S ribosomal RNA". It matches the Rfam family "Eukaryotic small subunit ribosomal RNA", at positions 592 to 976 of the family's 1831-position model. The record is from RNAcentral.